UACGUAGGGAGCAAGCGUUGUCCGGAUUUACUGGGUGUAAAGGGUGCGUAGGCGGCUUUACAAGUCAGGCGUGAAAUACAUGGGCUUAACCCAUGGACUGCGUUUGAAACUGUAGAGCUUGAGUGAAGUAGAGGUAGGCGGAAUUCCCGGUGUAGCGGUGAAAUGCGUAGAGAUCGGGAGGAACACCAGUGGCGAAGGCGGCCUACUGGGCUUUAACUGACGCUGAGGCACGAAAGCAUGGGUAGCAAACAGGAUUAGAUACCCUGGUAGUCCAUGCCGUAAACGAUGAUUACUAGGUGUGGGGGGUCUGACCCCUUCCGUGCCGGAGUUAACACAAUAAGUAAUCCACCUGGGGAGUACGGCCGCAAGGUUGAA
RNAcentral lists this ribosomal RNA (375 nucleotides) under uncultured bacterium. RNAcentral's name for it is "bacterial SSU rRNA". It matches the Rfam family "Bacterial small subunit ribosomal RNA", at positions 524 to 898 of the family's 1533-position model. The record is from RNAcentral.